GGGGAAUAUUGCUCAAUGGAGGAAACUCUGAAGCAGCGACGCCGCGUGAAGGAUGAAGGUUUUCGGAUUGUAAACUUCUUUUAUCGGGGAAGAAACAAAUGACGGUACCCGAUGAAUAAGCCACGGCUAACUACGUGCCAGCAGCCGCGGUAAUACGUAGGUGGCGAGCGUUGUCCGGAAUUACUGGGUGUAAAGGGCGUGUAGGCGGUUAUGUAAGUCGGAUGUGAAAGCCCACGGCUUAACCGUGGGAGUGCAUCCGAAACUAUGUAUCUUGAGUGCUGGAGAGGGAAGCGGAAUUCCUAGUGUAGCGGUGAAAUGCGUAGAUAUUAGGAGGAACACCAGUGGCGAAGGCGGCUUUCUGGACAGUAACUGACGCUGAGGCGCGAAAGCGUGGGGAGCAAAC
Molecule: ribosomal RNA, 403 nt
Filed under: uncultured bacterium
Lineage: Bacteria
Description: bacterial SSU rRNA
Rfam family: Bacterial small subunit ribosomal RNA
Source: RNAcentral